GCAACUUCACCACUCGCACAGCCUUUAGUGCCAGGUAGGCUUCAAAUACUCAGCAGCUCAUGACUGAGAGUGAUCUUGUGUGUGUAUGCACCUACCAGUGAGUGAGCCUGUAUGUGUGUAUGUCACUGACAAGCUCAGUGACACACACAUGCUCACUACAGACAAGUUCACUGACACACAUGCUCACUAUACACAAGCUCACAGACACACAUUCUCACUACAGAC
Non-coding RNA from Pelobates cultripes (western spadefoot toad), 225 nucleotides. The record is from the annotation of a GenBank genome assembly. Lineage: Eukaryota; Metazoa; Chordata; Amphibia; Anura; Pelobatidae.